AUCCAGCUGACGAGUCCCAAAUAGGAUGGGACACGCGUCAAACUGGAU
RNAcentral lists this non-coding RNA (48 nucleotides) under Schistosoma mansoni. Lineage: Eukaryota; Metazoa; Platyhelminthes; Trematoda; Strigeidida; Schistosomatidae. The record is from RNAcentral.